This 376-nucleotide ribosomal RNA is filed under the name uncultured bacterium. RNAcentral describes it as "bacterial SSU rRNA". It matches the Rfam family "Bacterial small subunit ribosomal RNA", at positions 521 to 896 of the family's 1533-position model. The record is from RNAcentral.
UAACACGGGGGUGGCAAGCGUUGUCCGGAAUUACUAGGCGUAAAGGGUAAGUAGGUGGAAUUGUAAGUCAGAUGUUAAAGGCACCGGCUCAACCGGUGUACGGCAUUUGAUACUGUGGUUCUAGAGUAAGGUGGGGGAAGACGGAAUUCCUGGUGUAGCGGUGGAAUGCGCAGAUAUCAGGAGGAACACCAGAGGCGAAGGCGGUCUUCUAUACCAUUACUGACGCUCAAUUACGAAGGUGUGGGUAUCAAACAGGAUUAGAUACCCUGGUAGUCCACACAGUAAACGAUAUACACUAGGUGUUGGGGGAGAUAUUCUUUCAGUGCCGCAGCUAACGCGUUAAGUGUAUCGCCUGGGGAGUACGAUCGCAAGGUUA